GUUAAUUAUUCGCAAUGGCACACUGAAAGAUCUACUAAUAAGAAAGUGCAUGCGAUAGAAGAAAUUAAUGUUUUGAGUGGAAAGAUGGAUGAACUUAUGAAAUUAUUUGCUAAUAAAAGUGUUUCUUCUGAUCCUAAUGAUAUGCCUUUGUCUACUUUGAUUGAGAAUAAUAAUGAAUCUAUGGAUGUGAAUUUUUUUGGUAGGAACAAUUUUGGUAACAACGCGUAUAGAGGAAACUUUAAUCCUAGGCCUUACCCUAGCAAUUCCUCUAAUAAUUAUGGUAAUCCCUACAACAAUUCUUAUGGAAAUUAUAAUAAGAUGCCCUCUGAUUUUGAAUCUAAUAUUAAAGAAUUUAUUACUUCG
This 363-nucleotide ribosomal RNA is filed under the name Triticum aestivum (bread wheat). RNAcentral's name for it is "partial small subunit ribosomal RNA". Lineage: Eukaryota; Viridiplantae; Streptophyta; Magnoliopsida; Poales; Poaceae. The record is from RNAcentral.